RNAcentral lists this ribosomal RNA (497 nucleotides) under uncultured bacterium. RNAcentral's name for it is "partial 16S ribosomal RNA". It matches the Rfam family "Bacterial small subunit ribosomal RNA", at positions 28 to 507 of the family's 1533-position model. The record is from RNAcentral.
GAUGAACGCUGGCGGCGUGCCUAAUACAUGCAAGUCGAGCGAACGGACGAGAAGCUUGCUUCUCUGAUGUUAGCGGCGGACGGGUGAGUAACACGUGGAUAACCUACCUAUAAGACUGGGAUAACUUCGGGAAACCGGAGCUAAUACCGGAUAAUAUUUUGAACCGCAUGGUUCAAAAGUGAAAGACGUUCUUGCUGUCACUUAUAGAUGUAUCCGCGCUGCAUUAGCUAGUUGGUAAGGUAACGGCUUACCAAGACAACGAUGCAUAGCCGACCUGAGAGGGUGAUCGGCCACACUGGAACUGAGACACGGUCCAGACUCCUACGGGAGGCAGCAGUAGGGAAUCUUCCGCAAUGGGCGAAAGCCUGACGGAGCAACGCCGCGUGAGUGAUGAAGGUCUUCGGAUCGUAAAACUCUGUUAUUAGGGAAGAACAUAUGUGUAAGUAACUGUGCACAUCUUGACGGUACCUAAUCAGAAAGCCACGGCUAACUACGUG